Long non-coding RNA from Lactuca sativa (garden lettuce), 866 nucleotides. RefSeq lists it as uncharacterized. NCBI's taxonomy places the organism in Eukaryota, Viridiplantae, Streptophyta, Magnoliopsida, Asterales, Asteraceae. The record is from RefSeq and is a predicted model, not a curated record.
GAGACCCACGCUCUAGGUUUCACAAUUCCGACGGGAGGCAAAUUGAAUGGGCGUCCACAAGUAGAAAUUUGACGAUGGUAGUGGUCGAUCGAUUACUCACAGGCUUAUGAACGAAACGGAAAUAGCGAAUGCAGGAGGAGUCCAAUGGAUGUCGGUCGUAUACAGACUGAGGAAGUGUCUCCGGAGUCGACGAGUCCGAAGCAUCGAGUUCGUGCUCCGUCUCGUACUGCUGUGAGUUGCGAAGGAAGGAGACUCGAUGGCUGCUGAUCUUUCGUGGAUCGAUUCGAAAUCGGUGAUGGCCUCCGGAGUUCGACUUAGGCCGAAGAAGGGGAAGGGGAAAGAAGCAGCGACGCUUCUGUGGGGUUGGUGAAAGUGAGUGAGAAGCGAGGGCAAAGGAGGUCUCGGUCUUUGGCCGGUCGCGAAGGCCGUUAACAGGCGCUGAUCAAGAGUGUUUGGGGGUUGUGCUCGGAGGAAGAUGAAGAGGAGUCUUGCUCCGACCGAUAAGGGGUUCUUUUCCAUUUUGUUUUUGUUUGAAUAUUUGAUAGAAAUCACAGGAAGGAAUUUGUGUUUGGUUUGAUGUUUAAUAGGAAAAUAUGAAGGAUGAACAUAUGGAAGUUGUUCUUUUUGGUUGGUCAGCAACAGAAGAAGAACAGAGAAGAUGCAGAUGGAAAUCAAAAGAUAGAGAUAGAAGAAGGAGUAGAGUGUUAGGGAUUUUUGGUUAACUUGUAGUGUUCAAUUUUGGUCAAGUAUCCAUUUUUUUUUUCAUUGUACUGGUUAUACUCAAAAGUAUUUGGAUAAUUUUGAUAAUAAGUUCCAUAUCAUACAUGUAUUUGAGUAUAUAUUAAUGUACAUUAUUAAUUCUUUAA